GAUGAACGCUGGCGGCGUGCCUAAUACAUGAAAGUCGAGCGAACAGAUGAGGAGCUUGCUCCUCUGACGUUAGCGGCGGACGGGUGAGUAACACGUGGAUAACCUACCUAUAAGACUGGGAUAACUUCGGGAAACCGGAGCUAAUACCGGAUAAUAUAUUGAACCGCAUGGUUCAAUAGUGAAAGACGGUUUUGCUGUCACUUAUAGAUGGAUCCGCGCCGCAUUAGCUAGUUGGUAAGGUAACGGCUUACCAAGGCAACGAUGCGUAGCCGACCUGAGAGGGUGAUAGGCCACACUGGAACUGAGACACGGUCCAGACUCCUACGGGAGGCAGCAGUAGGGAAUCUUCCGCAAUGGGCGAAAGCGUGACGGAGCAACGCCGCGUGAGUCAUGAAGGUCUUCGGAUCGUAAAACUCUGUUAUUAGGGAAGAACAAAUGUGUAAGUAACUAGGCACGUCUUGACGGUACCCAAUCAGAAAGCCACGGCUAACUACGUG
This 497-nucleotide ribosomal RNA is filed under the name uncultured bacterium. Its description in RNAcentral is "partial 16S ribosomal RNA". It matches the Rfam family "Bacterial small subunit ribosomal RNA", at positions 28 to 507 of the family's 1533-position model. The record is from RNAcentral.